This 253-nucleotide ribosomal RNA is filed under the name uncultured bacterium. Its description in RNAcentral is "partial 16S ribosomal RNA". It matches the Rfam family "Bacterial small subunit ribosomal RNA", at positions 524 to 776 of the family's 1533-position model. The record is from RNAcentral.
UACGUAGGGGGCAAGCGUUGUUCGGAAUUACUGGGCGUAAAGGGCGCGUAGGCGGCCCGUCAAGUCCCGUGUGAAAGCCCCCGGCUCAACCGGGGAACGGCGCGGGAAACUAGCAGGCUUGAGUUCGGGAGAGGGAAGCGGAAUUCCGGGUGUAGCGGUGAAAUGCGCAGAUAUCCGGAGGAACACCGGUGGCGAAGGCGGUUCACUGGCCCGACACUGACACUGAGGUGCGAAAGCUAGGGUAGCAAACGGG